UUGGUCCCUAGAGACUUGCAGCUAGAGUGCUCCAGCUGAUGUGCUGACUUUGCAGCCUCCAAAGGUAAAGAGGCAGCAUUUGCCUACAGAUAGAGCAGAGGGAAACCAGCUUCAAGCACCUACACAGAAUCUGUUGUCGCCUCUCUUAUUCAAUGUGCCCCCAACUGCAGGCUCUCCUUCACCAAGGUAGAAGUGCUGCACAUCCAAUCCCCUGUGGUACUUAAGAACCUCUAGUACUGCAGAGGACCUUCUAGCUCCCAGCUUUACAAAACUUGCUAGAUUGCUGGGCCAGCUAAAAUUCUCCAAUACUCCCAACAACAGUAAAGCCUGCAAGAGAAGGGAUUCCCUCCUGAAGACAAUCUAAGGGUCAGGGGUGUCUGGCACCUAGCAUCCUACUUGCAAUUAAACAUUAACUUUUAAUCAGCUUGCCUGAGAUCUGGCCCUGGUCAGUAAAAUUUGAGAUUAAUUUUACAUCCUUUCAGAUUUUUUGCUUGUAUAUGGCAAACAACAAUUAGAAGAAUUUGCUAAUUUUGGUUAAGCACCUUUUUUUUUUUAAAAAGGGCAUAAUCAUUUAUGAACAGUUUGGCAGAUUAACUUCAAAUUUGGUAGGGAAAUUCUCAGUUGGUCAUAGACCAGACUCCUAUCUGAGGGGGUAUAAGGAUUUGGGUUUUUUUGGGGGGGGGGGAGGAAAGGGGAAAGGUAGAGGGAGUGUUGAGAAUGGAAUUAUAAUGGACAGAAAUUCAACCUUACCUAUGAUGCAACUGCUACCACCAAUUGUGGGGGGUGGGGCUAUAAACAUGCAAAUCAAAAAAGUGAUUCACUCAGAUAAGUAUCAACGUGCUUCUGCUCUUUGGUGUAACCUCCACUAUCUCCAAAGUUUUCCUCUUCACACCAGGGAUUCUUGAAGUUCUCCCAUACUUCAUUUUAGAACUCAUGCAUGAAUGAAAGCACCGAGCCAGAUGCAAUGGUUCCUCAACUGUAACAAAAUCAAAGGCUUUCCACAUACCUGAUGUUUGGUCAUCUCCAUCUCCUCCAGAAUAGCUUUCUUAAAGUCCUCCUGUUGCUCCUGUGCAAGAAAAUGAUAUAAUGGACUGAGUUACACAAAUUAAAAGGCUUCAAGGUCACAUAUUGUAUUAAUUGAGUGCUUCAGAA
Long non-coding RNA from Dermochelys coriacea (leatherback sea turtle), 1152 nucleotides. RefSeq lists it as uncharacterized. The record is from RefSeq and is a predicted model, not a curated record. NCBI's taxonomy places the organism in Eukaryota, Metazoa, Chordata, Testudines, Dermochelyidae. The transcript has 2 exons.